AAGAAGGCGUUUCCCAUGCCGGAAGCAGUUACGAAACAGAACGAUCAAACAGUAACGAGAUUUGGCGGGAGAAAAACUAACUGAUUCAAGUGAAUUCUCAGAAUUACCCUUCUAUCUCUAUGAAGGUUAUGACUAGUAAAGUAGUAGGAUGUCAAAAACAGCAACCUAGUAGUGUUUAGAAACAGUAAGUCCAAGUACAAUGACCAUAGCAGAUGAUAGGAGUGUGUGAGAUAAUGAUCCAGCAGAGGAUGGAGUGAGAUUGGAGCGGCCGCUUCCGGGUGUUGCGGAUGGGAUAUCGGGAUUCACUGGCGAAGAUGAUGGAGUGGUUGCUUCAGGCUGUGGUGGCAGAGAAGGUGUAAUUGGUGAGGGGAGUACAGAAGAACCUGUUCAAACAAAACAAGUUCAAACUGCGGUUUGCAGCAGCAAUUGCAGCCACAAUGUAAAAGUUAUUUGCCGCCAAGUCUUUGCCAAAAAUCGCGACACGACAACAACCGGAACAACCAUUAUGUACCUUGAGGACUAAGAGAUGGAGCAGCUGGAGUAGAUGCUGGGGAAAGAGAUGGGCCAAAAGACGCUGGUCCUGUCAAAGUCACUCAUAAGAUUUAGUAAAACUGAAACAGGAAUGUAAAUUUUAGGCAUACUAGAGUAUCGCGACGCAGUUUACCUGGAGCAGGAAGUGGUGAACCUGAGGCUGCAGAAAAUAACACAUGUUGUGUUAAUAACGUAAAAUUACUAUAAACUUUAAUUUUUGUUCCAUAAAAAAGAAAGAAUGAAGAUUGAGGAAACAGUACUUUUGCAUUGAAGUGGAACACCGGGCAAGUUACAAGCACGGGGAAGAGAGAUAGCUAAGGUUCUGUUGAU
This is a long non-coding RNA of Lathyrus oleraceus (garden pea), 861 nucleotides long. RefSeq lists it as uncharacterized. NCBI's taxonomy places the organism in Eukaryota, Viridiplantae, Streptophyta, Magnoliopsida, Fabales, Fabaceae. The record is from RefSeq and is a predicted model, not a curated record. The transcript is spliced from 3 exons.